Molecule: long non-coding RNA, 706 nt
Filed under: Calidris pugnax (ruff)
Lineage: Eukaryota; Metazoa; Chordata; Aves; Charadriiformes; Scolopacidae
Description: lncRNA (ENSCPUG00000014210.1)
Source: RNAcentral
GAAUCCCUGGUUACACAGGGUGACAAAUUCAUUACAGCUUGCUGCGGAUCUCAGCUGCUCUCUGGACCGGGAUCUUGCAUGAAUAAAUUGCCAGCAGCUGUGUAAGUCUCCCUGCCUUGUGGAGACCACGGUUCAGGGUCCUUCUGGAAGCCAGCAGUGAGAAGUCAGCCUCAGCGGAGCAGAGCCGACAGUGACAAAUCACAGAGGAACAUCUUCACAGAACUUUCAGAUCCUGAAGCCAUCUUCCCCCUCUGCCUCCAAGAAGUUCCUGGUGAUGGUAACAAAGGACGGUCCCAGAGCUACUGUCAAUCAGCAGCUAGGCCACCAAGGCUUUGACUUAUGCCCUGGACUGCUCACAAGAAGGUCUACAGGAAGGUCAUGGAAAGGUUGGUAAGUGCAAUGGAAGCUACUCUUCUCCUUUCUUCUCUGCAAGUCCUUCUGUAGGAAGACUUAUGCCACAUUGUAGUAGGACGCUGGUAAGUGCUUCAAAUCAGAAAGAAAGGAACAGCAGGACAGGCAUGUAGUUCUGUUCUUUAAUCUGAUCAAAGUCAGACCAGAAGAAAAGGAGACUAAAAGAUGCUGUAUAUUCCCACAGACUGGUAUAAUGGCUUAAUCCUUGUGCAUAAUUCCCAGCAGAUUCUGCUGGUCCCAACCAGGGCUUCAUUCUGUUAAACACAGUAGAGAAUGGUACAAAGACAUGAUGAAG